UUUGGUGGCGAUAGCGAAGAGGUCACACCCGUUCCCAUACCGAACACGGAAGUUAAGCUCUUCAGCGCCGAUGGUAGUUGGGGGUUUCCCCCUGUGCGCGUAGGACGCCGCCAAGC
RNAcentral lists this ribosomal RNA (116 nucleotides) under Bacillus altitudinis. Lineage: Bacteria; Bacillati; Bacillota; Bacilli; Caryophanales; Bacillaceae. The record is from RNAcentral.